This 1359-nucleotide ribosomal RNA is filed under the name uncultured Leuconostoc sp. Its description in RNAcentral is "bacterial SSU rRNA". It matches the Rfam family "Bacterial small subunit ribosomal RNA", at positions 80 to 1401 of the family's 1533-position model. The record is from RNAcentral. Lineage: Bacteria; Bacillati; Bacillota; Bacilli; Lactobacillales; Lactobacillaceae.
UCGCUGAUAGUUACGACAGUACUAUGAUGGAAGACACGUAAGUAACCUGCCUAUUAGAGGGGAAUAACAGUGAGAAAUCAUUGCUAAUACCGCAUAUACUACUAACUUCGCAUGAAGAAUGUAGGAAAGGAGUAAUCCGCUAAUAGAUGGACUUGCGCCUGAUUAGCUAGUUGGUGGGGUAAUGGCCUACCAAGGCAACGAUCAGUAGCCGGACUGAGAGGUUGAACGGCCACAUUGGGACUGAGAUACGGCCCAGACUCCUACGGGAGGCUGCAGUAGGGAAUCUUCCACAAUGGGCGCAAGCCUGAUGGAGCACGCCGCGUGUGUGAUGAAGGCUUUCGGGUCGUAAGCACUGUGUAUGGGAAGAAUGCUAAAUAGGGAUGAUUUAGUUGACGUACAUACAGAAGGACGCUAAUACGUGCAGCAGCGCGUAUACUAUGUCCGAGCGUAUCGAUUAUGGGAAGGGGCAACGUGAUAAUUAUGAAGCGACCCUCGAUGCUGAAUGUACUAGUUAAGGAGGAUCUGGAGGGAGGAUUUGAACCUGAGGUUGAACAUUGGCAGGGAAAGAAACGUCCCAGAAGGUGGUCCUAGACAUUUCGGGACGUUAUUGCCGGAGUUCCCACUCUCUUUAUUUCAGGGUCGUGUUACUUUUUGAGAAAAUUCACAGAUUUCUACCUCUGNUUCGCGAUGGACUAUCUGGACAGGGGAGCGCUCCUGUGGCAAGGCGGCUUAUCUGGACAACAAUCUGACUUGAGGCUCGAAAGUGUGGGUAGCAAACAGGAUUAGAUACCCUGGUAGUCCACACCGUAAACGAUGAAUACUAGGUGUUAGGAGGUUUCCGCCUCUUAGUGCCGAAGCUAACGCAUUAAGUAUUCCGCCUGGGGAGUACACCGCAGGUUGAAACUCAAGGAUUGACGGGACCCGACAGCGUGAGAUGUGGUUAUUCAAGCACCGAACCUACGGCUGCUCCUUGAGCUUUAAGAUAAGGUUCUUUGGGCAAGGACAGUGGGCAUGUCGUCGUCAGCUCGGUCGGAGAUGUUGGUAAGUCCCGCAACGAGCGCAACCUUAUGUUAGUUGCCAGCAUUCAGUUGGGCACUCUAGCGAGACUGCCGGUGACAAACCGGAGGAAGGCGGGGACGACGUCAGAUCAUCAUGCCCCUUAUGACCUGGGCUACACACGUGCUACAAUGGCGUAUACAACGAGUUGCCAACCUGCGAAGGUGAGCUAAUCUCUUAAAGUACGUCUCAGUUCGGACUGCAGUCUGCAACUCGACUGCACGAAGUCGGAAUCGCUAGUAAUCGCGGAUCAGCACGCCGCGGUGAAUACGUUCCCGGGUCUUGUACACACCGCCCGUCACA